This 459-nucleotide ribosomal RNA is filed under the name uncultured bacterium. RNAcentral's name for it is "partial 16S ribosomal RNA". It matches the Rfam family "Bacterial small subunit ribosomal RNA", at positions 338 to 794 of the family's 1533-position model. The record is from RNAcentral.
CCUACGGGUGGCAGCAGUGAGGAAUAUUGGUCAAUGGACGCAAGUCUGAACCAGCCAUGCCGCGUGCAGGAUGACGGCUCUAUGAGUUGUAAACUGCUUUUGUACGAGGGUAAACCCCGAUACGUUUAUCGGGUUGAAAGUAUCGUACGAAUAAGGAUCGGCUAACUCCGUGCCAGCCGCCGCGGUAAUACGGAGGAUCCGAGCGUUAUCCGGAUUUAUUGGGGUGAAAGGGUGCGUAGGCGGUUUGAGAAGUUAGAGGUGAAAUGUCGGGGCUCAACCCCGAAACUUCCUCUAAUACGUGUGGACUAGAUAAUAGUGGCGGUAGGCGGAAUGUAUGGGGUAGCGGUGAAAUGCUUAGAGAUCAUACAGAACACCGAUUGCGAAGGCAGCUUACCAAACUAUAUCUGACGUUGGGGCACGAAAGCGUGGGUAGCAAACAGGAUUAGAUACCCCAGUAGU